AAGCCUAAAGUGACUCCAAAACUCAUGCAAGUUCGGCGGCCGAACAUGAGGUUCGGCGGCCGAACAUGAGGUUCGGGGGCCGAACCUGAGCCACUUUCGGAAGCCUAACUUGCCCCCCUAAACUAUCCCAUGUUCGGCUGCCGAACUUGAGGUUCGGCGGCCAAACCUGGAAAUGCCUCCAUGGUCUUUUUCAUUCAAAACUCAGCUUCUUUCUUACUUAAAAUCAUAAAAUACAUUAAAAAAUUUUAUAAAAACAUUAUCUUACCCUUCUAGAGGUUUCCGACAUCCGAGAUUCCACCGGACGGUAGGAAUUCCGAUACCGGAGUCUAGCCGGGUAUUACACAACAAUUCAAAAGAAACGCUUAGAAAUAAAGAGUAAACUCCUAACAAAGAAAAGUAAGCUCAAUCACACUACAAGGAAAACACAAGACAAAUGCAUGAUAGCACAAGAACAAGACUAUGUACUACUUGAUUAUAUGAACUUAGAGUGUAAACACAAUCAAAUAACACUCUAACAAUGUAAAGAAAAUAGAGAUGGUAAGUCUAAAAAAAAAUCCAGCAAACAAGAAUUGAGAAAUAAGCAAUUUAGGCCAAAAUAUAAGAAUUUGAAUUACUACAAAGCAAAUAAAAUAUGUAACAUAAAAUAUUUCUACCCAAUAAAGCAAGAAAGUAAUAAUACCUAAACUAAAUCAGAAUUCUCAUGUAUAAUUAAUUUUUGGAGCCAAAUUAAUUAUUUUGUAUCAAAGAAAUUUGUUUUAAGUUCUAAACAUGCACAAGUGCGUGUGUGAUCAAAUAUGACAUCAAAUUAAUUAAAACAAGAUAGAAUCAAUCCAAACAGCCCCUAAAAUAAUAUAAUCCGAAAAUUUAGGGCAUAAAAAGUAAUUUUUUUAGUAAAUGAAACCACAAGUAAUAAUUCAAUUAGGACAAGGAAAACAAAUCCGACAAAGAAAACAAAUCUAACAAGGAGAAGGAUUUUUCCAAGAUACAUCAAUGAUUCUCUUUCUUCUACUUUUUUUUUAUUCUCUUUCUUCUUAUUCUUUUAAUAUUUUGUUUAGUUUACAGAAUUGACCAAGAAUGAAACUUAAUCAAUUUAACAACCAACAUUAAAUCAACAAGGCCAAAACUCUAGAAAUAAAAAAUGCAAGAAAGCUCAAAUUUAAAACCCUAAACUAAGAUAAAUCAAAAUUUAUUUUAACUUUAGCUCUGAUUCCAACUGACAUGGUACCCUAUAGAUCAAGUUGAAGAACUCUAUAAUAAGAUGAAAUAGUUCCAAAGAUUAACAAUAAACUCCUUUUUAUGGCACCCAAGCAAAGGACACAAGAAUACCAAUAAUUGAGGAUUAGAGAAUCAAGGCAAAUGCUACAAUAGAAUUGAUAAGUUUAUCUUCAUUCUUAAUGCAAUUAGAAGAAUGCAAUCUCAUACUCUCACAAUAACAAAGGCAUGCAAAUAGUUUGAAUAAUUCUAAAUUUUUUAUUAAAAAAGUUCUCCCACGAAAUGGAUGACUUGAGUUUAUAUAGAGAAAACUAAAUUUAACCCUAAGAGAAUAAGAAUAUACUAAAUCCUCAAGUGCCCAAACAAGGCUAGUUGAAUUUAAUAGCUCAUGGCAAGGGGCGGCAAACUAAGGCCCAAACUAGGUCCAAAUAACUAAAUUGGCAAUACUAAAGCAAAUAAGAUAGCAUAAGUUUAAUCCAAAUAAAUGGGCUUAAAAAAUACAUCAUUAAGGUCCAAAUAAUAUAUAUAAUACAUCCCCAAGGCUGCCCAUGAGUUGUGCACAUGUUUCUUAAGUUGCACAUGCAUUGCAUAUGUUCCUUAAGUUGCACAUGCAUUGCACAUGUUUUUUCAAAUCUGCCCACUUGGUUUGAUGGACUUGUCCACCUUCUAAUUAGAUCCAAUGGACUUCAAUCUUCACAAAAAUCUUGCUUGAUCUUCACUUCAGACUUUCUUUUGUGUAGUUUUGACCCAUAGGCUUGAUUAUGCUCCUUAAUCCCAUAAUUGCAAGUGUUGUACCAAAUCUAUCACAUCUAAAUUAAAGCACGCUUCAAGUGUAUUUAGAUCAUAUGAAUAUUAGUUUGAACUCUUUUUAGACCUAUUUGAAUGAUAUAAGGUUUAUCCACACCAUUGUUACAAAUCUGCCCUAUUGAAAUCAUAUCAGCUUCCUUUAAGGAAAAACUCUUUUUCUAGAAAUUUAGCUUGUUUUGAAACAAAUACUUUUCUCUUAAUAGGAUGGUAGAAAUAAUAUCUAAUAGUUUUUUUGAUAUCCCAUAAACUUAUAUUUAUCUAACUUAGCUCCCAAUUUAUCAGAUAUCAUACACUUUAGAUAAGUGUUACAUUCCUAAAUCUUUAUAUGUGAUAAGACUAGUCUUUUACUAGUCCAUGUCUCAUAUGAAGUCUUAUUUAUAGAUUUGGAUGGAACUCUAUUAAGAAGGCAUAUUGCAGUUAGUAUGGCAUAACCCCAAAUGGAUAAAGGUAAAUCUGCAAGACUCAUCAUGGAACACACCAUAUCUAAUAAAGUACAAUUCCUCCUUUCUGAAAUUCUAUUAUGUUAAGGUGUUCCAGAUGGAGUUCAUACAGUUUUUACUAUGCCCAAUUCAUUCCCUUUUACUGCUCAUGAAUUAAGUAAUGUGUAAGUUGAAUCAAAACAUAGAAGUUCAUAUAUAAGAUGACUUAUUGAUUUCAAGUCAGAGUACCAUUUACACUACCAUCACUUGACUAGUCCAUAGAUACAGGUAAUUCUCCAUAUGAAAUUCUCAACCGGGUCAGUUCAGUGUACUUAUUUAUAGAAUAAGCACCUAUAUAUUUGUUCUAGAUAUCUCAUAUAUAUCAACUUAUGAGAUCAAUUGCUUUCUUUGAAAAUGAAAGAACAUAAUAUGCAUCAGUCUCUACAGCUCUAAUCAUUAUUCAAUAAUGAUAAGAAUAUGACUAGGAACAUUUAGAGAUAUUACUUAAGCGUAAUAAGAAUCUCACAAUUAUAACAACAUUAUAAUUUCCUUUGCAUAGUAAUAUAGUCUCAUGAAUUUUAUUUUUACUCAAGAUUCAAUCAAAUGAAUACUAAAGAUAAAUAAAUAUCUUUUAUUAAUAUAUUAAAUACUUAAAAUACAUUAAAAAAAUAAUAUCCAAAUACAAUCCAAAAUUUGGCUGUAGUGCAUACAACUAACACAUACAUGUAGGGAUGGCAGGCGGGCGGGUUUUUACGGUUAUCCAAUCCGUCCAAAUCCUAUUAGGACGAAUUUAGGCGAAUUCGGAUUUGAAAAAUUUUACUCGUCUCGGGUUCGGGAUUAGGUGAUCGGAUACCCGUUACUCGAACCCAGUUAGCUAUACUAACAAAACUAACCCUAAUCCCUAAUUCGUUUUUUCAUUUUACUCGAGUCAUACACUGCUCCCUCUCUCCGUCGGCGCCUACACUGCUCCCAUAAUUCCCAAUCGACGCCUUUCUCCCCCACUUCAUUGAUGACUACCAGCAGCCUAGUCGACACCGACGGCGUCUCCUUUCUCUCCCCAGCGACGAUAAAUCUUCUCUCUCCCCAGUCAGCGAUAUCUCAUUCUCUCUCCAAUCGGCGACAUCUCCCACUUUCCAGUCAACGUCUCUCUCUCCUACUUCACUGACGAGUGCCGGCAGCCCAGUCGGCACCGGCGAUGUCUCCUUUCUCUCCCCAGUCGACAAUAAAUCUUCUCUCUACCCAGUCAGCGAUAUUUCCUUCUCUCUCUCCAUUGUGGCGACAUCUCCCACUUUCCAGUCGGAGACAACUCUUCCCUCUCCCCUGUUGGCAUCGGCAACAUCUCCUUCUCUCUCCCCAGUUGGUGACAUCUACUCUUUUCAAUUGACGCUUCUCUCCCCCAUUUCACUGACGACUGCUAGAGAUAACCCUUGCCUCUCCUCAAUCGGCGUCGGCGACAUCUCCUUUGAUCGGAACUCUCUUUAGGUUUGCAAUUAAAUUUUUUGAUAAUCGAGAUCUUUUAUGUGCAUGUUGUUAAAGAAUUUUUAGUUGCUAUUAAAGAUUUUUAGAAUUUAUGGAUUAUUAAUUUGAUUAUUUGGAUACUGGUAAAAAAUCUGAUUAUUUGCUAUUUGGUUACUAUGACACUGUUGAUUUUUAGAAUUUAUGGACUAUUAAUCUGAUUUAUGAACUAAAAGUUGCUAUUAAAGAUUUUUAGAAUUUAUGGACUAUUAAUAUAAUUAUCUGAUUAUUUGCUAUUUGGUUACUCUUAAUCUGAUAAUUAAGAUCUUUUUAGUUGCUGUUAAAAUAUGUUAAUACUAUCAGAUUCCAUGCCGUUUAAGAAAAAUAUGUGUUAAUUUACCAUAAUGAUAUUUGAUGUAGUGAAGAGAUUAUAAAUCCUAAGUACCCUCUAUGUAAUCCAUCUGGUUCGUGUCAUUGAGCAUUUCUACAAUGUUUCUACUGUUGGGUUGUGCAUAUAAUGUUUCUACUGCUGGGCUGUGCAUAUCCUAUAGAUAGUUUUUGUGAAAAUUAUUGCUAAGUUCUCCGACUUGAUUUACAAUCUAUUGUUUCUGUAUUUGUUUUUUGAAGGUUUUCAAGCACAAUUUGAUAUUGGAGAUUGAAAUGGCCAAUUGAAUAUAUUUUAUGUUCAAUCAAUGUAGUUUAAUAAACUUUUGGAACAUUUCAUUUGUUCAAAAUUUUAUGUUGGAUAGAUAAUUGACUAAUGGUUGUGUUAAUGAUGAAUUUGUAAUAUAUUUAUUUUGUUUUAGUAUAUUUAAAUUUCCUAAUUUAGGUUUGUUAUUUGGGUUAUAAUAUCCAAAUCUUUAAAUUUUUUAUCGUUGAAUUGAAGUAAAAAAUUCGGAUUCGGUCGGGUUCGGGUAUUGUUAAACGGAUUUGGAAUGGGUACGAAUAUUAAAAUUAAAAUACUAAACGGGUUUGAGACGGGUUCAGAAAUUUUACAUAUAAUCGGGUUCGGAUUUGAGUACUCUCAAUUUUGCGAGUACCCUACCCGUUGCCAUCCCUACAUACCCGUUGCCAUCCCUACAUACAUGCCCUUCAACUCACAUUGCAAGACAGGAUUGUGCUUCAUCUUUCAUGCAAGCACACUAAAUUCCAUUACAGUCUUUUAUCAAACCUCCCAUAGAAGCAACUCCUUUCAAUCCUUACUUGCGUUAUACGUGUCAGACUCGAAUUAAAAUCGGUUGGAUGAUUAAGAACAAUAAGGUUAGGGGAAUAUGAUGUGUGGCAUUUUUCUUUUUGUUUUUAAAAGUACUAUUAGGGUUUUCAUUUAAUAAAUGACAUAAGAAAACUUUUGUUGCUUUCUCUUGCAUUAUGAAGAAAACAGUAGCCUCAAUUGUGUAUCUUACUAAGAUUAUAAAAAAGUUGAAAAGGCAAUCUCUAUGGAAAUUGGCACCUUCCCCUGCACUUUAUCUAAGAUAAAUUUAGAAUCUACUCAUCCACACGGACAAUUCUUGCCUAGACGCAAUUCAUGGUGGAUCCAAAACACAAGUGAGUGAGAUUAGGCCAGAUUCUGCAAAAUGGGACAACUACGAAAUGCCUAACCAUUAGGCCAAAACGAAGCUGCAUUAAUAGUACUCUUAAAGCACCACCUACCUAGCAAUUUUGGCUAAUGAUGCCAACAUCUAGAAUAAUAUGUAGAAUAACAAGUUUAUUUAGGUUCAUUUAAUCAUAUUAUCAAGUGAAAAAAAAUAACAAAGAGGGUAUUGAUCGUAAUAUAUUUUCCUCAUACCUCUCCUAAACACAUUCAUUCACACUCUGCUAUAGAAAAUACGGGCCCAAUUCGAUUUCCAAAGCGGCAGAAAAUUAAUAUUAACAGGUUAUGGACUCAACUCUAUAAUUAUCUUCUCCCCCCUCCUCUCCAAAUACAAACAGAGAGUAUACAGCGCAACUUCAAAGUCUAGGCUUAUAUUGAUUAAAAUGCUUGAUAUAGAUUUGAGAAUUCCAUUCCAUUCAAACUGAACUGUAAGUAAUUGGGUAUCAAAGUCAGGUUGCAAAAUAGAAAUGCUUUUUAGAUAUGAUACAGGGUGUAAUAGCAAUUCAACAUGUAAAAGACAUUGAUCUUUACAUUUGGAGGACUUCGCAUUCAACUAUAUAAACAAAAUAUAAUGUUUCUAUUAUGGAGAAUACUAAAUAAUUCUUUUUGGUGUGCCUCUAGGGAAAAGAGGCUGAGGGUUGAAUUUGAUUCUUCUAAUUAAAAUAAAAAAAAAAAAUUAAUAUAUGUGUGGGUUCAUAUCAAAAAGACACCAAAGUCCAAAUAAUGAUAAUUUAUAAUUUAUAAAGAGUUAUUAAAAGUCAAGAUUGUGACGUUAUAAAAAUUAAGAAGUGAGUAACUUAUAGGCUUUCACUUUUUUACGAUAGAGAAAGAAAAUGAGUCAUCUUUGAUCUAAUUAAAUUACUUUAAAUUUAAUUCAUUUGAAUCAAGCAAAGAUAUUGGAGUAAGGUGGUGGUAAUAAUCAAGAAAAAUAUAUACCAGACUUGUAAGAUUUUUGUACCAAAUAUGAUAUUUCGAUAAAAAUAGAAUUUUACAUCUUUUCUCGUGAUACCAUUAUAUUAGCAUAUGAAAAUAUUUUUUAAAUACACUGCAAAAUAUUUGAUAUAAAAAUUAUAUCACAAUAUUUAUUUUAAUAUAAAUUAAAUCAUUGACUUAGAGUUAAAAAUCGAUAAAAUCAGAAAAUAUUUUUUUAAAAAAAAAAUUAAAAAAAUAUUAAUUAAUAAUUAUAUUUUAUUUAUCAUAUAAAUAUUUUUGAUGAUAUUUAAAAAUUAUAUUUGUUACUAGCAGUAUAAUGAUAUUAAAUAUUACUUUUAUCUGAAUUAUCUAUAUAGAUUAAAAGCCAAAAAAAUGAAAUUAUAUAAUAUUUUUUAUUAUUUUUUUUUUAAUUUUUAAAGAUAAUGUUAAUCACCAAAAAGUUUAAGUGCCGACGGAUUCUUUCAGAACAGUUGGGAAUCAAAUGAUUUUUUUAAAUUCCUAAAUAAUAGAGAAAGCAAUAGCCUAAAUGAAAAGACUCGCGCUAACUUCACAAAAAUCAUGAAAAUCAAAUUAACAGGUCUUACAGGAGGAUCCUCAAAUAAAUGAACUCCACGAUUUAAAAAAGCUACAGAAGAAGCAAUUCAAUCAGCACACACGUUUUGCUCCACCGUAAAUAUGACAUAAUCGCACCUUUAAUUUCCCAAAAAUACAAUCUGGGACUCCAUUUGGUAUCAAAUUUCCAUGAUCUUUUCCUCCAGACAAAGGAAGAAACCUUCAUACAUGCCCAUCAACUCACAUUGCAAGAGAGGACUGUACUUCAUCUUUCUUGCAAGCACACUAAGCUUUAUUAGUCUCUUAUUAAACCUCAUCAUAGAAGCGAACUCCUCUUGGUCCCUACUUGCCUAACACAUAUCAGACUGGUAUUGGGAUGGAUAACGUUAUGGGGACAUAACGAGUGCAUUUUUCUUAAUGUUUUCAAAAGUACUAUUGGGGUUUUCAUUUAAUAUAUUAACAUAGAAAAUUUUUGCUGCAAGACACAAAUAAGUGGAAUCUCAUUUAAAUUUCAUAUAGAUCCCACUAUAUUAUACUACGAAUAAAAAAUUCGCACAAGCCAGACUCUGCAAAAUGAAGCUGCAUUAAUAGUACUCUUAAAGGACCACCUGCUUAACAACUUUGGCCUAUAAUGCCAACAUCUAGAAUAAAAUAUACGAAAACAAGUUUAUUUAGGUUCAUUUGAUCAUACUAGCAAGUCAAAGUCCUUACAAAGAGGGUAUCAAUCAUAAUAUCUUUUCCGCAUACCUCUCCCAAACGCAUUCAUUCAACACUCUGCUAUAGGAAAUACGGACCCAAUUCGAUUUCCAAAGCGGUAGCACUUAAUAUUAACAGGGUAUGGACCCAACUCCAUAUGGUUAUCUUCUCCACCCAAAUAGAAACAAAGAGUAUACAAUGCAACUUCAAACUCUGGGCUCACACCAACUAAAAUGCUUGAUACAGAUUUGAGAAUUCCAUUCCAUUCAAACUGAACAGUAAGCAACUGGGUAUCAGAGUCGGGCUGCAAAAUAGAAAUGAGCUUGAGGUAAGAUACAGGGUAUAACAGCAAUUCAACAUGUAAAAGACAUUAAUCUUUCUGUUUGGGGGGCAUGGCAUUGAAGUACAUAAACAAAAUAUAUGUUUCUACUAUGGAGACACUAAAUAAUUUAUCAUAAAAACUAAAGGGGAAUGGAUUGAUAAAUAUCUUAAUAUUGGUAACUUUGCAAGCCUGUUUAAGUCGCAUAUCAUUUAAAUGAAUACAUUUUUCAAAGUAACAUCACAACUUAUAUCCAAGAAGGCUCUUUACGUUUUUAGUCAACUGGAAAAUAUAGAAUCCGCCAUUAAAUAGGAUAUGGAUUUUUCUCUGUUUCAAAUAAGAGUUGCAAGAAAUUUUGAAAAUAGCCGAAGCUAUAAAACUCGAUCAAUAUUUAACAUUCUCAUAAAACAAUUAGAACUGCCCUUGAUAGACUCUCUUAUUAAUCAUGUUCCUUCAGCACUAAAAUUUUAGGGUCCAAAAUGGCACAGCCUAUCUCACUGUCUGAGGUAUUAUUUCUAUCUUCUAUCUGCAAAUUAAGCUUUACUUAAUUUUAAACUUUUCACAUCAACCUUAGAAGAUACAGAGUAGCAAAACUCCCUAGAGGCAAAUUGAAUAGAAGAAUAAGGUGAAGCUUCAACAAUGAAAAAAGGGGAGCAUUUCUCUUCAAAAUUAUGAUACACUGACUCCUCAGAGCAGAAAUAUAGUAAAAAGAGCUACAGGUGUAAAGAAUUGUUUCCAUACUUCAAAAGUUUAUUAUCAAUUAUAGUCUUAUAUCAACAAGAUCACUUACAAUUUGCCCACGUCGUCGGGGAAAAAUAUAACCUUGAUAAUCAACCCUUCCUUUUGCUUCUUCUAGAUAAAACUGGAAAAAAGGGACAAAAAAAGGAAAUUUAAGGACAUGUAAACGUUAUCCUUCAGCAAGAGACUAAACAAUGAUAAAGGAAUAAUGAUUCAUAAAGAAACUAAAAACAGUUAAAGUGAUCGUUGGGCACAAUUGCUGAAAUUUCCUUGCAAAAAUUCCUAAAUGCAAUUUUUGAACACAUUAGUGAGUACUAAUAACCAGCUAUUAUCCAGGUGGAUGAUCGACAGACUUUGACCAAGGAUGUCAAACAAUAUAGCUAUAAUAGCUCAUAACCUAUUGCAGCAUGAAUCCUGGAGAAUAAACGCUCCUUUCAUUGUGAUGUUGACUCUAGAGUCUAGAGGCAAGGCUAUAUCAUGAAAUGCCCAGUGUCACCUUCAAGUCCAUGCAGAAAUAAUAGUCAUUAAUGAAUAUUGAAUUCAUCGAGACAUGUGUCACGGUCCAAAGGUGUUGAGAUUCCCACAAUUCAAGGAAAAAUUGAAGCUAAUUUUACUGGCAUGUGUGGCAGCCCAAAUGAGGUUCAGUAGGCUAACUCUGCUGGCUGCAAGGUAAAAAUGCCAACUGGGGCUGAUUGGCCAGCAGGCAUGAGGAAUGGGCCUGUGAGUCCCAAGGGUGAUUGGCACUGUUAGGGAAAACAGGAAGACUUGUAGGCCAAGGGUGCCAGCAAGCGAGGUUCAUUUGGGAAAAACUGGGCCAGGCAUGGAGCCCAGCAGGCCAGGCAGGCAAGUCAAGGUAUUGGAGGUGAACCGGUGAGUGACAGGCCCAGUAGGGUGCAAUUGAGUCAGCCCAGCACGGGGGAAGGUGCUGGAAGUCAGGAGGCGUCGCUAGGCAGAACGGGGUUCAAUGGGGCUAGAACAUUCGAGAAGGUUCCAAGGGCAUCCAGAGAUGUCCAAGUGCAAAUGAGGUUCAUUGAGCGCAGAGGUAGGCAAGAGCACGCACAGGGGAACACUGGUACGCUGCGCGCACGGAGGGAUGCUGGUAGGUCGCACAUGCAGGAGCAAGUUGGUAGACCGCCUGCACAAACGAGAUGGAUAUAGGCUGGAAGAGGCACGAAGAUUCUCGAAGCUGCAAGGUUCCUCCGAAUGUUGUUGGAAGCUGUAAGGCGUGCGCAAAGAGACGUAGGCACACCGAGGACACGCGUGCCUGUGGUAGCACGAAACAAGGUUUAUAGCUGUGAGAAAUUGCCAAAAAAUUCCAAAACGUGCUAGACAACUCCCAAACUGCCUCAAAAAGAGUCAGACAUGUGGAAUAGCACCAGCCACAUGAUUUAGUCGGCCAAAUAGCCCCAUUUAGAUUCUUUUAAAGAGAAUGGAAGAAAUAGCACUAGGCACACCUUGUAAGCACUUGGUUGAGUUUCUUGUAAUAUUUGCCUUGUAAAUUUUUUUCAAGUGUAAUAUAAAGCCUAUUUCCCCAAUUCUCUUCCCUUCUUGCUAGUUUUAGCUAGUUUAGCUUCCUUCACACCCAUAGAGCUAUUUUAGCCCUUUACAACCUUUUGUUUGAUUUCUGCAACGUAUCUUGAGGGUAAGGCUUACUUAAUUCGACGGAUUAAGCUAAGUGUCGCACAGUGAGUGGUUUUUGGGGUUGGAACCGUUCAAGCCCUGAAAGAGUGAUAUUAGAGCCAGUCUUUGCCGAGGUUCACUAUUGUAAAGUGAGGUUCACUGCUACGACGUGAGGGUCAUUUGGGUGUCACUGCUGCGCAUUGAGGCUCAGUUGAGCAAAGGUGUCAUUGUUGCGACAAGCAGUUUCUGCUAAAAGAGGUUCAAUUGCCGAGAUACCAAGGGGUUGGUGUCGCUACUCCAUUGAGGUUCAGCUUGCCGAAGUGAAGUUAGUUCCAACUUGAUUCUGGGGAGAUUCUGCCGAGAUCGUUGGGCCGCUAGUUGGGCAGAAUUUUGAAGUGAGGUUAUUUCUGUUAGUCUCGAGACAAGUUGUGAAGCAGUUUUGGCAAGGGUGUAUUUUGUCGCACAAGCAUAGUCCAGCGAGGUUAACCUGCCCAAAAUUGCAUGAGGUUCAUUUCUCGGCGUUGGGGGUAGAUUUUCAGGGGAGAAAAAUCUGUGUGCUGGAAGCCUAAAGGGGUAGUCAGUGAGGUUCAUUCAGCAUGAGGCCAAAAAAGAAGAAUUUUACCUGCGUGGUGUCAAGCUGAGGGAAGUGCUUUGUUCCCCCACCCAUUGCUGCAAGGAAAAGGUUUUCAUCGAAGGAAGGGUUUUUGCCAACUAUGUCAAGCCAAAAAAAGGAAGUUGUGGCGGUUGGCUUGGGUGCUCCUAAAGGAGAGGAGCAUGGCAACCUAAGUAUAAAGUUGGAGUCAAAGAAACCUAGCCAGAUGAGAGAGGAGCUAGGGGACUUUGAAGCAAGGCUUGCAAGGGUGCAAUUGCAUCUUGUCGAUGAUGAUUAGUGGUUCAAGGAGAUGGAGUCCUGCAUUGAGGAACUCAUGUCAAGCAUGGAUGAGGUUCGCGAAGAGAUGCAAGGGGCAUUGAAUGAAGCCAUCAACAAUGUGACAAAGGAAGGUGAGUCUAGAAAAUCCUUCCUUUUUAGUGAAAUUGUCGCACUUAAGGAAGAUAAUUAGUUGUUAAAGAGAGAACUUGGGAAAUUAGUGGAGUUAAAUAGAAUGAAGGAUGAGGUGGAGAGUGUGAAGAAAAAUAGGGAUGGUGUGUCCACUUUAUUUGCUCCUUUACUAGACAAGAAGAACGUCUGCAAGGAGGAGAGACCUUUGCGUAAGUUUUACUUUUGCAAAGGUCCUCAUAAGCAUGGUGAAUGCCCAAAGAGGAGUGAGUUUGUUGUAAGGGUGCAAAGCAAUAAGGAGACUCCAUUAGAGCCAAGGGUGACAUACUUUGAUUCUUUGGAAAGUGUAUGGUGCACUAGAAUGGGUGGAUAAUUUGGUGGAGCAAGAUGAGGAAACGGGUACCUCAUCAUCGUCAUCAUUGACUUUGAAAAAGGACCUAAAGGAAUAUGGGGACCAAAAGGAGAAAUAGUUGUCGAGGGAGCUACCACCUAAGGGAGAGGUGGAUGGUGCCGUAGAGCCCAAAGUAGCUGAAAGUCCAAGGGAUGGGGUUUCGCCAAAGCGAGGGAAGCGUAGGUGACGAUGCUCGAGGAGGAGCAAAAGUAGGUGCAAGGCCAAAGGGAUGGUAAAGACACCUAGCCACGAGGACGAGAGGAAUGCUACUAGUGCACUUGUGGAGAAGGCUGAAGGCAACAAUUCGUAUGUGGAUGGACAUACGAAGAGGUCCCGCAAAACUUCGUACAAGGGUGAUGCGAGGAGGUCUAAAGAUUGCUCACGUGGUGUUAGGCAGGUGAAGAAGAUGCGACGAGAGCAUUGCGAAAAUGAGUAAGGGAGAAUGCCAUGAUCCAAAGGUGUUGAGACUAAGGAUCCCCACAAUUCGAGGAAAAAUUGGCUUUUGGCGUUGCUAGAGCCAAUUUUGCAAUUGGGCAUGUGUGGCGGCCCAAAUGAGGUUCACCGGGCUAAUUUUGCUAACUGCAAGGUAAAAAUGCCAACUGGGGCAAAUUGGCCAGCAGGCAUGAGGAACGGGCCCGUGGGUGUCAGGGGUGAUUGGCACUAUUGGGAAAACAAGCAGACUUGCAGGCUAGGGGUGCUAGCAAGGAGGUACAUUUGGAAAAAACUGGGCCAGGCGUGGAGCUCAGCAGGCCAGGCGGGCUAGACAAGACAUUGGAGGUGAACUUGUGAGUGGCAAGCCAGCGAAGUGUAAUUAGGUUAGCCCAACAUAAAGAAAGGUGCUAGAAGCUAUGGGGUGUCACUAGGCAGAACGAGAUUCAAUGGGGAUAGAACGUUCGAGAAGGUUCCAAGGGCAUCCAAAGACGUCCAGGCACAAAUGAGGUUCACUAGAGGCAGAGGCAAGCACGAGCAUGCACAAGGGGACACUAGUAGGCUGCGUGUGCAGGAACACGUUGGCAAACCGCACGCACAAACGAGGUUUAUGCGGGCUGGAAGAGGCGCAAAGAUUCUCAAAGCUACAAGGUUCCUCCGAGAGCUGGUGAAAGCUGCGAGGCGCGCACAAAAAGGACGUGUUGGCCCGUGGCAGCACUAAAC
RNAcentral lists this long non-coding RNA (12882 nucleotides) under Manihot esculenta (cassava). RNAcentral's name for it is "long non-coding RNA (MESC_LNC010156)". Lineage: Eukaryota; Viridiplantae; Streptophyta; Magnoliopsida; Malpighiales; Euphorbiaceae. The record is from RNAcentral.